GUGUUUAUAGUAUAUAAAAUACGCUUGCUUUUCACGUAAGAAAAAUAGGAUUUCUGUUAAGCACA
Molecule: transfer RNA, 65 nt
Filed under: Laeonereis culveri
Lineage: Eukaryota; Metazoa; Annelida; Polychaeta; Phyllodocida; Nereididae
Description: tRNA-Glu
Source: RNAcentral